This 230-nucleotide unclassified non-coding RNA is filed under the name plant metagenome. Its description in RNAcentral is "partial contains small subunit ribosomal RNA, internal transcribed spacer 1, and 5.8S ribosomal RNA". The stretch from base 183 to 230 matches the Rfam family "5.8S ribosomal RNA", at positions 1 to 49 of the family's 154-position model. The record is from RNAcentral.
UUUCCGUAGGUGAACCUGCGGAAGGAUCAUUCAUAAUAAAGUGUUUUAUGGCACUUUUUAAAAAUCCAUAUCCACCUUGUGUGCAAUGUUAGAUCUCGUCAAUCUUGGCGAGAUUUUUAUACAUCAACUCAUUCUUUAACUAAUUUGUCUGAAAACUAUUAUGAAUACUUAAUUCAAAAUACAACUUUCAACAACGGAUCUCUUGGCUCUCGCAUCGAGAAGAACGCAGC